CUACUGUUGGUUUCUUCUGGAUUUUCCUUUUGGGUUUUGUAAAACAGAAGUUUAAGACCACAAGUUAUAAGAAAGGUCACAUAUUUCAAACACAAAUAAAUGGGGCUCCAAAAGAUUUGUAUCCUGUGCUUGAACGUGAAUGGCCUUAAAUCUGUUUCAGCUUUAACAAUAGAACUUUACUUGGGCAAUAUUUGCCCAUUCUGGUGUAACUUACGUGACUCUAUUGCUUAACAGCUGCUGUUGAAGCUAGUGUUCUUGUUCAGUUCUAUAGUGUUCAGAAUACCUUUUGUCAUUGAAGAUGUGAAUGAAGUGUGCAUGUGCAUCGACUGUUGAAUUCACUUUUGUGCCAUUUUUGUAAAUACAAUAGUUUUGCACAGCCUCUCACAACUGUCUGUAUUACUUUCACAUAUUAAAGAGUAGAUAAUGUGCCAACCAGAAGCACAAGAGUUCCUACAAAAAACUCUGUAUGUCAUUAGAGCUUUUGUAUAGUAAGAGUGGUUUAUAGUCUUGGGGUUAUAGAAUACCAAACUGAAAUCUUUGCUCAGUCUGCCAUAGACUUAAGCUUUUUCAUUUGUUAGUAGUACCCAUGACAUUCAGUGGCCUUGUGCAAAU
This 612-nucleotide long non-coding RNA is filed under the name Androctonus crassicauda. Lineage: Eukaryota; Metazoa; Arthropoda; Arachnida; Scorpiones; Buthidae. The record is from RNAcentral.